This 886-nucleotide ribosomal RNA is filed under the name uncultured archaeon. RNAcentral describes it as "bacterial SSU rRNA". It matches the Rfam family "Archaeal small subunit ribosomal RNA", at positions 22 to 903 of the family's 1478-position model. The record is from RNAcentral.
GGCUACUGCUAUCAGAGUUUGCGUAAGCCAUGUUAGUCGAGGGUGAUCUUCUUCGGAAGAGGUAACCGGCAGACGGCUCAGUAACACGUGGACAACUUACCCUUGGGACCGGGAUAACCCCUGGGAAACUGGGGCUAAUACCGGAUAGAGCAUUGAUUGCUGGAAUGCAUGAUGUUCGAAAGCUGAGGCGCCCAAGAAUAGGUCUGCGGCCGAUUAGGUUGUUGUUGAUGUAACGGAUCAACAAGCCUACGAUCGGUACGGGUUGUGAGAGCAAUAGCCCGGAGAUGGGUUCUGAGAGAAGAACCCAGGUCCUACGGGACGCAUCAGGCGCGAAAACUUUACAAUGUGCGAAAGCACGAUAAGGGAACUCUGAGUGCCUCCUAAGGAGGCUGUUCGGGUGUCUAAAAAGCAUCUGAAGGAAGGGCUGGGUAAGACCGGUGCCAGCCGCCGCGGUAACACCGGCAGCCCAAGUGGUAGCCAUGCUUAUUGGGUCUAAAGCGUCCGUAGCCGGCCAAGUAAGUUCUUUGGGAAAUUUGACCGCUUAACGGUCAAGCUGUCAGGGAAUACUGCUUGGCUUGGGACCGGGAGAGGUCAGAGGUACUCCAAGGGUAGGGGUGAAAUCCGUUAAUCCUUGGGGGACCACCGGUAGCGAAGGCGUCUGACCAGACCGGGUCCGACGGUGAGGGACGAAGGCUAGGGUCGCGAACCGGAUUAGAUACCCGGGUAGUCCUAGCUGUAAACGAUGCGGGCCAGGUGUUGGCAUUACUGCGAGUGAUGCCAGUGCCGAAGGGAAGCCGUUAAGCCCGCCAUCUGGGGAGUACGGUCGCAAGGCUGAAACUUAAAGGAAUUGGCGGGGGAGCACCACAACGGGUGGAGCUUGCGGUUC